GGGGACCUGCUGGGGCCUGAGCUCUCCAGCCCGGAGGCCACCAGAGGAGCUGCAUCACAGACUCUGCCCCUUGCAGGUGACUCCUAGGAAGGCAGAGGGGGACCUCGUCCCAGUUGUCCCUCCCAGACUAGAGGAAAGGACUCUGUUGGGUAAAACUUCGAUUUCCCUGUGCGUCUAACUCUGGGAGUGUGCAAGAUCUGCCGAACCACAGGGGGUUUCAUUUUUCACUUGCUUGGUGUCUGAGGAAAACUGCAAGGAGUGGUAAGAGGAAGAAGCAUUAUAAACUUUGGGAGCAGGGACAUCUUGGAAGUGGCAAGUAGCCUCAGACCGACGGUUCCUGGGCCAGUGACGUCCUUUGCUCAGACACUCUGAAGGGUCUGGACGCCGCCACAUGACCAACACCAGAGACCCCAGGAGAGCCAUGGAAUCCACGCUGGCACCAUCCAGUUCUGCCACAGGCCCAGUCACCUUCUCCCACGUCUUUGGUCAGCAGUGCCAGCUCAUGGAAGCAGUGCACCUGUUGGAGGGAAAUGAACUUGCUGCCUUCAAACAAGCCCCUAAGUUGCAGACCCAAGAGUUGAGCUCCGUCUGUCCUCCUCCUUGUUCCUCUGUGCCUUCCCGCCUCUCCUACGCUCCCCAGACUUACAAUCGACUGAGUCCACUAAUAAGGUACUUGAAAGGGGCUGGCAGAUGGUCAAGUGCUGUAUAAACGUACGUUGUCAUUGUUAUUAUAGAUGGGACUUGGGGUUCAUUUCUGAGAUGACCCUG
RNAcentral lists this long non-coding RNA (768 nucleotides) under Ursus maritimus (polar bear). RNAcentral describes it as "lncRNA (ENSUMAG00000021760.1)". Lineage: Eukaryota; Metazoa; Chordata; Mammalia; Carnivora; Ursidae. The record is from RNAcentral.